This 440-nucleotide ribosomal RNA is filed under the name uncultured bacterium. RNAcentral's name for it is "partial 16S ribosomal RNA". It matches the Rfam family "Bacterial small subunit ribosomal RNA", at positions 338 to 795 of the family's 1533-position model. The record is from RNAcentral.
CCUACGGGAGGCAGCAGUGGGGAAUAUUCCACAAUGGGGGAAACCCUGAUGCAGCGACGCCGCGUGAGUGAAGAAGUAAUUCGUUAUGUAAAGCUCUAUCAGCAGGGAAGAAAAUGACGGUACGUGAGUAAGAAGCCCCGGCCAACUACGUGCCAGCAGCCGCGGUAUUACGUAGGGGGAGAGGGUUAGCCGGAUUUACUGGGUGUAAAGGGGGCGUAGACGGCAGUGCAAGUCUGGAGUGAAAGGCGGGGGCUCAACCCCCGGACUGCUCUGGAAACUGUACGGCUUGAGUGCAGGAGAGGUAAGUGGAAUUCCUAGUGUAGCGGUGAAAUGCGUAGAUAUAAGGAGGAACACCAGUGGCGAAGGCGGCUUACUGGACUGUAACUGACGCUGAGGCUCGAAAGCGUGGGGAGCAAACAGGAUUAGAUACCCGGGUAGUC